RNAcentral lists this ribosomal RNA (497 nucleotides) under uncultured bacterium. RNAcentral's name for it is "partial 16S ribosomal RNA". It matches the Rfam family "Bacterial small subunit ribosomal RNA", at positions 28 to 507 of the family's 1533-position model. The record is from RNAcentral.
GAUGAACGCUGGCGGCGUGCCUAAUACAUGCAAGUCGAGCGAACGGACGAGAAGCUUGCUUCUCUGAUGUUAGCGGCGGACGGGUGAGUAACACGUGGAUAACCUACCUAUAAGACUGGGAUAACUUCGGGAAACCGUAGCUAAUACCGGAUAAUAUUUUGAACCGCAUGGUUCAAAAGUGAAAGACGGUCUUGCUGUCACUUAUAGAUGGAUCCGCGCUGCAUUAGCUAGUUGGUAAGGUAACGGCUUACCAAGGCAACGAUGCAUAGCCGACCUGAGAGGGUGAUCGGCCACACUGGAACUGAGACACGGUCCAGACUCCUACGGGAGGCAGCAGUAGGGAAUCUUCCGCAAUGGGCGAAAGCCUGACGGAGCAACGCCGCGUGAGUGAUGAAGGUCUUCGGAUCGUAAAACUCUGUUAUUAGGGAAGAACAUAUGUGUAAGUAACUGUGCACAUCUUGACGGUACCUAAACAGAAAGCCACGGCUAACUACGUG